AUAAUUAACCUCACUGUGUUCAGACCUUUAAGUGCAUUAUAUUUUAGACCUUAAGCCAAGGCACCAAAAAAAAAACCCAAUUAGGCUAGUAAUAGCUUUGGAUUAAAUUAUAUUAACUAUUAAAAGAACAUAAUUUAUAUGUAGUCAGCAUGUGUAAUUCUUGUUGUAGAGAAACCCCCAAACACUAAUUCAAUAUUAAAACCUGUGAGAAAACAAAAUCUGUGUAAUGCGAUCAAAUGGCUUCUACGUGGAGUUUGGGAAAGGUUGCAGGUAGUGGAAUUAUUAUAGAAACAAAAUGUGUCAAGGACAUUUCAAAUCAGCACAUGAGAAGCAGGGAAAAAUCAGUUUCUUCAUUUGGAGGCAACAGGCAUGUUUUAUAAUAAACUGUAGUUGAAGUAAGAAACUAAGGUACAUCUACUUUUGUCUCUCUGAGAGAUGCAAGAAGGGUAUGGGAAAACUAAAAGCAGGUAGGUCACAUGCAGGAUAAUUAUGUUACAAGAAGAGCGAGUGAAAUUUUAAGGAAAAAAAAAAAGAACCGAAAAUGUUUUCCACAUUUACUUAUUUUUUCAUAGUCUUAACUUUGUCCUAAAUCUGCCUCUAGAGUGAUAGGAACUUGAAAUAGAAUGUCAGCUGUAUCUGUUAUCAUCCUCAUUAUUGCUAUUAUCAUAUGUGUUUGAGUGUUUUUCUCAUGUUCUUUGUUGUAGGCGUUUCAAUGAAAUGUCGGGUGGAUGGCUCAAAUAUAAAUAUAAAUAUAGACAUGGAAAAAUCACUAAUAAUACAAGACUGCCUCGUAUAAAUAUUAAAGGUCUUCUAUAGAUGCCACGUGCACUUCCAAAAAGAUGGACGAGGUCUUGCCUCUGCAGGAUCCCACAGAAAUGGAGACCACAGGGCAUAGGAAACAAUAUCCUCUCUAGAGGUCAAAACUCAGCAGGUUUUAAUAAAACAUCCAGCUCUGAUGUAUGAGGGUUAUUCAAGAUCUAAGUUAAGAAGCUUAAUUAGUGCUUUUGAUAAUAGACCAUUUUUCUUUUGGGUCAGGAGAUGGGGCAGAGUGUUGCUUUGAUGUUAAGCUCAUGUUUUGCAUGAGUCCUGGCAUAACCCUCAGCAAGUUGCUUCAUCUUUCUGGACACUGGCUUCCUCAUCUGUAACCGCAGGAAUAAUGAUGGUACCCAUACAGGUCUGCCUUAUGGAUUUUCGUGGUACACAAAUGAGAUAGUGACACUACAGCCUCACUCAUAGUAAGCACUCUGUAAUUAUGUAUCAUCAUCGCCACAAGACUGUGUUAGUGUUAAACCUUGUCAGGUGGCAAAAGUGUAGAGAGAGCUUUCAUCUACAUAGAGUGAUGUCCACUUAGACAGGACAUAUUUGGGCUCAGAUAUAACUUGUUCAUAGGUAUAUAGACUUGUCAUGGUUUUUUACAAUGACAAAUAAUGACAUACUGAAUAUCCUUGUAAAUAUUUUAAGGCAUCCAAAGUCUAUUUCUGUAGGAUAGUUGUAUGACAUCAAAAUUUGGGGGCCCUAAUAUUUAUCAAUACUUUAUUAGUCAUUUUUUAAGGGCCAUACAUGUGGCAUAUGGUCAUUCCUGGGCUAGGGGUCAAAUCAGAGCUGUAGCUGCUGGCUUAUGCCACAGCCACAGCAAAGCCCAAUCCGACUUACACUGCAGCUCAAGGCAAUGCCAGACCUUUAGUCACUGGGUGAGGUCAGGGACGGAACUCACAUCCUUACAGACACUAUGUUGGGUCCUUAACCUGCUGAACCACAAACAGAACUCCAAGAAACUUUUUAAACUAGCUUAAAUUAAAAUAUUUAUAUAUAUAUAUCCUGCAUCAGUUAUCGCACUGUUAAACUACUGGGGAUUUUAUAUAGUAUGUGUUGAUUCUAGAAAGGUAAGUUCUUUUUCUUUAUCGAAAUAAUUUUUCAGCUUCUCUUAUAAUUUUUCUUUCAGAUGAACUUUAGAAACAUAUCAUGGGGGGCUUCAGGGAAAUUUUCUUGAAUUUAUAUUGGUAAAAUUAAUUAUUAAUUUUGGAGGAAUGGACAGAUCUGCAAUAUUGAAUUUUUUUUCUCUUAAGCUUUCCUCAGUAAAGCUUUAUGGCUGCUUCUUAUGUAGCCUUGGAUUUUUAAAAUUGUCUUUAUUCCUAGGUAUGUGAUAUGCAACUAUAAUCUUCUCCAUAAGAAAAUUUAAUUAAUUAAAAAGAGUAUAUAGGGAAGAUAUUGAUUUUUUUAAUAUCAUUAACUUUUAAGUCCAAACAAUAUAAAAUAAUAAAAUACCAAGCAAUCAAAUGAAAUUUGCAAUAUCUGAGAAUACUAUAAUCAAUAUCUCAUUUACUCUUCACAGAUAUUUGGUCACAUAUAAUUAGUUGUAAUUUCAUACUUUACCAAUAAAAAGAUGUGAAGCUUAAAGACGUUAUCAAAUGCCUAGUCACAUAGCCAGUGGCUGGGAUGUGAACCAUACUUUUAAUAUCUGGUCUAUAUAAUCUCCUUUUAUUUAGGACAUAAAGAUCAUUUCCAAGAAAUCCAAGUAGAGUAGCAUCCAUUAACUGAUAUUUUCUAACAAACUGAUAGUUUAUUCUUCCACGUGAUUAAUGCUAUCAAUUUUGUGAGUUUCCACUUUUUCACUCUUGAGAAAAGCUUGUUACCAUUGUCUUGGGGAGUGGGCAGGACCCAACACAUUCUUUUCAACCACAGGUUAAAUGAGGAUUACCAGACACUAUUUUGGCAGUCAUUUUGAAAUUCUCUUAAAUUAAAAAACAUCUCUUUUCCUAAACCCAUAGUCCCUACAGGAAGUGUUGGUUAUAGUCAAAGUCAAAAAAAAAAAAAAAGUUUCUAUGCAGAAAUGUUCCCACAACUGGUUGAAGUUUAUAAAGGAGAAUAUGUUAAGUCAGCAGAGUGCUUGUAGCUGUGUGUAGAAUUUUAAAGGAAGCAAGGCAGAGUGCUCAGAAAACACUUCAUCUCUAGAGAGGAUGAGUUACAGCAGCUCCAUGAAACAAACGAGAUACACACCUGCUCAGGCUGAUGCAGUUUUCAGAGAUGCUCUGUAUGAUCCAAGGUAUCACAUUUCAUCCAGAGUGACUGGACCUAUUUGAACCAUCAGGUGUUUCCCUGAAUUCUGCUCAGAGUUUUCAAAGGCUCUCAAGUCCCAUCUCAGAUCCGGACCCAGGAUCUCUGGGAAAUGACUCCCAGUAUCAUGCUUAAAACUCACUGGCUUUAGGGAGUUCCCGUUGUAGCUCAGUGGUUAACGAAUCUGACUAAGAACCAUGAGGUUGCAGGUUCGAUCCCUGGCCUUGCUCAGUGGGUUAAGGAUCUGGCGUUGCCGUGAGCUGUGGUGUAGGUUGCAGACGCGGCUCAGAUCCCGCGUUGCUGUAGCUCUGGUGUAGACCAGUGGCUAAAACUCCGAUUCAACCCCUAGCCUGGGAACCUCCAUAUGCCAUGGGUGCGGCCCUAGAA
RNAcentral lists this long non-coding RNA (3441 nucleotides) under Sus scrofa (pig). RNAcentral describes it as "lncRNA (ENSSSCG00000058479.1)". Lineage: Eukaryota; Metazoa; Chordata; Mammalia; Artiodactyla; Suidae. The record is from RNAcentral.